This 76-nucleotide microRNA precursor is filed under the name Myotis brandtii (Brandt's bat). RNAcentral's name for it is "mir-9229 microRNA precursor family". It matches the Rfam family "mir-9229 microRNA precursor family". Lineage: Eukaryota; Metazoa; Chordata; Mammalia; Chiroptera; Vespertilionidae. The record is from Rfam by way of RNAcentral.
GAAACAUCCCUAUGGAGCAGGGCUUGCUUCAGUGGGGCUUUGGUGCUCACUGAGUCUGUCCCUUGAGUGUGUCUCU